Molecule: long non-coding RNA, 240 nt
Filed under: Trifolium pratense (red clover)
Lineage: Eukaryota; Viridiplantae; Streptophyta; Magnoliopsida; Fabales; Fabaceae
Description: long non-coding RNA (TPRA_LNC007455)
Source: RNAcentral
UCCUAAUUUGAUAUUCAAUGAGGCACUGUUCUCGAUGCUCCAAUUCAUUUUGUGUACGAGAUUUUGUGAGAUGAAGUUAUGAGAUGCUCCACUGUCGAUCAAGAUUACCACUGGCACCUCUUGGAUUGACCCCUUCAGUUUAAUGACUUGUGGUAUGGACUGUCUGGCCCGGCCCAAUUGAUAGAAAUCCAUCAUGCUCAUUUCUCCUUGCACCCCCUCUUCUUCAUCUUCUAUCUCNNN